CAACAGGGAUUGCCUCAGUAACGGCGAGUGAAGCGGCAACAGCUCAAAUUUGAAAUCUGGCCCUUUCAGGGUCCGAGUUGUAAUUUGUAGAAGAUGCUUCGGGUGUGGCUCCGGUCUAAGUUCCUUGGAACAGGACGUCAUAGAGGGUGAGAAUCCCGUAUGUGACCGGCUGCCUCCGCCCGUGUGAAGCUCUUUCGACGAGUCGAGUUGUUUGGGAAUGCAGCUCAAAAUGGGUGGUAAAUUUCAUCUAAAGCUAAAUAUUGGCCAGAGACCGAUAGCGCACAAGUAGAGUGAUCGAAAGAUGAAAAGCACUUUGGAAAGAGAGUUAAACAGUACGUGAAAUUGUUGAAAGGGAAGCGCUUGCAAUCAGACUUGCGCGCGGCUGAUCAUCCGGGGUUCUCCCCGGUGCACUCGGCCGCGCUCAGGCCAGCAUCGGUUUCGGUGGUUGGAUAAAGGCCUUGGGAAUGUGGCUCCUUUCGGGGAGUGUUAUAGCCCUCGGUGCAAUGCAGCCUACCGGGACCGAGGACCGCGCUUCGGCUAGGAUGCUGGCGUAAUGGUUGCAAGCGACCCGUCUUGAAACACGGACCAAGGAGUCUAACAUUUAUGCGAGUGUUUGGGUGUUAAACCCAUACGCGCAAUGAAAGUGAACGGAGGUGAGAACCCUUAAGGGUGCAUCAUCGACCGAUCCUGAUGUCUUCGGAUGGAUUUGAGUAAGAGCAUAACUGUUGGGACCCGAAAGAUGGUGAACUAUGCCUGAAUAGGGUGAAGCCAGAGGAAACUCUGGUGGAGGCUCGCAGCGGUUCUGACGUGCAAAUCGAUCGUCAAAUUUGGGUAUAGGGGCGAAAGACUAAUCG
This 854-nucleotide ribosomal RNA is filed under the name Calycina parvispora. RNAcentral describes it as "eukaryotic LSU rRNA". It matches the Rfam family "Eukaryotic large subunit ribosomal RNA", at positions 66 to 937 of the family's 3401-position model. Lineage: Eukaryota; Fungi; Ascomycota; Leotiomycetes; Helotiales. The record is from RNAcentral.